UAGCUCAGUGGGCAGAGCACUUGUCUAACAUGCAGGAAGCCCUGGGUUCUCUCCCCAG
RNAcentral lists this transfer RNA (58 nucleotides) under Neotoma lepida (desert woodrat). It matches the Rfam family "tRNA", at positions 8 to 63 of the family's 71-position model. From Rfam's summary of the family: Transfer RNA (tRNA) molecules are approximately 80 nucleotides in length. Their secondary structure includes four short double-helical elements and three loops (D, anti-codon, and T loops). Further hydrogen bonds mediate the characteristic L-shaped molecular structure. tRNAs have two regions of fundamental functional importance: the anti-codon, which is responsible for specific mRNA codon recognition, and the 3' end, to which the tRNAs corresponding amino acid is attached (by aminoacyl-tRNA synthetases). tRNAs cope with the degeneracy of the genetic code in two manners: having more than one tRNA (with a specific anti-codon) for a particular amino acid; and 'wobble' base-pairing, i.e. permitting non-standard base-pairing at the 3rd anti-codon position. The record is from Rfam by way of RNAcentral. Lineage: Eukaryota; Metazoa; Chordata; Mammalia; Rodentia; Cricetidae.